CCUACGGGGGACAGCAGUCGAGAAUCAUUCACAAUGGGGGAAACCCUGAUGCUGCGACGCCGCGUGGGGGAAUGAAGGUCUUUGGAUUGUAAACCCCUGUUAUGUGGGAGCAAAUUAAAAAGAUAGUACCACAAGAGGAAGAGACGGCUAACUCUGUGCCAGCAGCCGCGGUAAUACAGAGGUCUCAAGCGUUGUUCGGAAUCACUGGGCGGAAAGUGUGCGUAGGCGGUUUCGUAAGUCGGGUGUGAAAGGCGCGGGCUCAACCCGCGGACGGCACAUGAUACUGGGGGACUAGAGUAUUGGAGGGGGAGGCGGAAUGCUCGGUGUAGCAGUGAAAUGCGUAGAGAUCG
Molecule: ribosomal RNA, 350 nt
Filed under: uncultured bacterium
Lineage: Bacteria
Description: partial 16S ribosomal RNA
Rfam family: Bacterial small subunit ribosomal RNA
Source: RNAcentral